GCUUACCUGCGCGCGCGCGCGCGUGUGUCCACGCGAGUUCGACCCUUUCUGCGCGCGUGUGUCAGUCAAAUCAUUUUUUUUGGAUCCCGAGGUGAGUUGUUCGUGUGGCACGUACACAAAAUGCAUCCAAACUCUGUUGAGACGCACUCUAAAGUAUCAAAUAAAAAUCAACCUUAGAACUUCAUACAACGAAAAGCACCAAUUGGACAACGCCAUGACACUUUUUAAAGAAAUAAAUGUGGUUGCUUGAAACGUGUUUGAAGCUGCGUCUAAAAAGCGCUGCCUUGGCGAGCGUCGCUCAAAGAACUACAAAUAUGGCAGGAGAACUACGGAAGAGCCAAAGGCCCAAAAAUCUCACGGCCGCUUUCCGGACUCGCAGGUGUAAGCGAUUAUUUGCCAUCAAGCGGGCUACGCUCCCGCCGUCUUCGUUCAACGGCGGACCGGCAGCCGGUGAACCGACGACGUGUUAAAGGAGGAGCCGGCCUACAGAUGGGGGCCGUGUCCAUGCGUCCCAGACAAAGGCAAGUCGGCCAGUGGCCUUGAGCAGAAUCCUGAUCAGGGUGCAGGGUCCUGAUAUUGACACACGACGGUCGUCUCCUUUUUGGAAGUAACGACGACACCUAUCGACCGCAGGUGGAACAGCUGCUUCCAAAGUAACAAGUCAUGACAACGGCGCACUACUCGAAUUGAGGGCAUCCGGUCUUUGGUUUCGCAAACAAAGCGCGGGCUGACCUGAGGCUCGGUGCACAGCGUGACGGACUCGUGCAGGUUGAGGCGGCACAAGCGCAGGGGCGAGCGCAGGCCUUUGGACGCGCACCACGGGCAGCACUCCAGAGACGCCGCCCGCUCUUGGACCUUCAAACGCACAAUUGAAGGACUUACCGACACUUUCAAUGGUAAUCAA
Long non-coding RNA from Hippocampus zosterae (dwarf seahorse), 904 nucleotides. RefSeq lists it as uncharacterized. The transcript has 4 exons. NCBI's taxonomy places the organism in Eukaryota, Metazoa, Chordata, Actinopteri, Syngnathiformes, Syngnathidae. The record is from RefSeq and is a predicted model, not a curated record.